RNAcentral lists this ribosomal RNA (473 nucleotides) under uncultured bacterium. RNAcentral describes it as "bacterial SSU rRNA". It matches the Rfam family "Bacterial small subunit ribosomal RNA", at positions 28 to 507 of the family's 1533-position model. The record is from RNAcentral.
GACGAACGCUGGCGGCGUGCUUAACACAUGCAAGUCGAACGGAUCAUACAGAUAGGUAACUUGAAGUAUGGUUAGUGGCGGACGGGUGAGUAACACGUGGAUAAUCUGCCUGUAACUCUGGGAUAACCCUGUGAAAACGGGGCUAAUACCGGAUGAGUUCCCCACCUCGCAUGGGGAGGGGAAGAAAGGAGCAAUCCGGUUACAGAUGAGUCCGCGGCUGAUUAGCUAGUUGGUGGGGUAACGGCCUACCAAGGCGACGAUCAGUAGCCGGCCUGAGAGGGUGAACGGCCACACUGGGACUGAGACACGGCCCAGACUCCUACGGGAGGCAGCAGUGGGGAAUCUUCCGCAAUGGGCGAAAGCCUGACGGAGCAACGCCGCGUGGGUGAAGAAGGCCUUCGGGUUGUAAAGCCCUGUCUUAUGGGAAGAAGAAAGUGACGGUACCAUAGGAGGAAGCCACGGCUAACUACGUG